UACAGAGGGUGCAAACGUUGCUCGGAAUCAUUGGGCGUAAAGCGCACGUAGGCGGCCUAGCAAGUAGGGAGUGAAAGCCCUCGGCUUAACUGAGGAAGUGCUUUCUAAACUACUAGGCUUGAAUACUGGAGAGGGUCGCGGAAUUCCCGGUGUAGAGGUGAAAUUCGUAGAUAUCGGGAGGAACACCUGUGGCGAAGGCGGCUUUCUGGGCCUUACCUGACGCUGAGACGCGAAAGCGUGGGGAGCGAACCGG
Molecule: ribosomal RNA, 253 nt
Filed under: uncultured bacterium
Lineage: Bacteria
Description: partial 16S ribosomal RNA
Rfam family: Bacterial small subunit ribosomal RNA
Source: RNAcentral